This 467-nucleotide ribosomal RNA is filed under the name uncultured bacterium. RNAcentral describes it as "partial 16S ribosomal RNA". It matches the Rfam family "Bacterial small subunit ribosomal RNA", at positions 28 to 507 of the family's 1533-position model. The record is from RNAcentral.
GACGAACGCUGGCGGCGUGCUUAACACAUGCAAGUCGAACGGAAAGGCCCAGCUUGCUGGGUACUCGCGUUGCCAACGGGUGAGUAACACGUGGGUGAUCUGCCCCUCUCUUUGGGUUAAGCCUGUUCAACUGGGUCUAAUACCUGAUAUUCAUUUUUCCUCGCAUGGGGGUUUGUGGAUAGCUUUGGCUGUUAGUGCUGGUCCUGAGGCCUAUCGGCUUGUUGGUGCAGGUUUGUCCUACCACGGCGAAGACAGGUAGCCGACCGGAGAGGGUGAUCGGCCACACGGGGCCUGAGAGACGCACCAGAGUCGUACGGGAGGCAGUAGUCGGGAAUAUUGCAGAAUGGGGGCAAGCCUGAUGCAGCGACGCCGCGAGAGGGAUGACGGCCUACGGGUUGAAAACAACUUUCAGAGCAGACGAAGAGCAAGUGACGGUAGGAAAAGAAGAAGCACCGGCCAACUACGUG